UUUUUUUAAUUUAACCGUAUAUGAUUGAUUUAUGUUUCAAUAAAUCAUUUUCGAGAAAUAAUUACAAACGUUUCCGCAUAUCGGUGUGUCACACUGUCACCAGUAGUCUGUUUUUACACGUAAGUUUUGGAGAAAUUUUAAAUUUCCAUAAAUUAAAGUCACGCCAUCCUUAUAUAAACUAUUCGUAUGCUAUUUGUAUAAGCACUCAAUUCUUGACAAACACAACGACAAUACUACAAUAAAAAAAAAAAUUACCUUGUAAAAAAUAUAGACUUUGUAUUUGCGGAAUAAAUGUCAAAAAGUAAGAUAUUGUUAUGGAAAGCACUUAGACAUAUUAAAUCUUAAAUCCCUGUAUUGUACACUACUGCUUCCUGUGGCGUUGUGGUCUAUAGGAAAUAGAAAGUGCUCGAGUUGGCAGUCCUGAAAAUCUACCGCGCUUUUGGCCUGAUCGUGACUCGCUCGUCUCGCUGUGUACACGUUUUUUUUUAAUCUUGUAACCUUAACUUUCAUUUCAUGUUCAUUAACGCAAUAAACUCUUUAUAACCCAGAGUUGUGAAUAGAUUAUCUUUCUCUGCUCUUCAGAUAUCAAAAAAAUUGUAUCUAAAGUAAUUUUUUAAAAAUUGUUAGCACUUUUAAUUAAAAAAUGGUUUUGUAAAGCAAUAUUUAAAUUAUUUAUAUUAUUAUUGACAUUUCAGAUAGCUAAAUCGAUCAGUAUAUACUUACAACUAUAAGAAAAACAAAUUAAAACAAAUUAAUACUAAUCAGUGACAUGUAUAAAUCAUAAUAACAAUAAACGUUAUUUAUUAUUUUAUUGUAAUAAUAACAUUUAUAUAUUCAUUCUUUUAGUGUAUAAUUUUGCAAAUCAAUAAACAAGAUAUUAAAACUCUAUUUUAAUAUUAAAUGACGCAAAAUUACAUAAUGCACUGAUAACUUUCUGAUUUACAGAAUGCGGAUAUAGUUAACUAUUUUGUAAAUUACAGAUUAUAAUUUGUACAAUAAUGAUAUUCUUCAUUUGAAUGUUUAAAACAGAAACCAUGCACAGCGCAUAAAAGCGGCUAUCCCACAAACACUGCUGUUCACGACCGUGGCGUGUGCGGGAACAAGGAUGGCGCGGAGUGGCGGG
Long non-coding RNA from Monomorium pharaonis (pharaoh ant), 1123 nucleotides. RefSeq lists it as uncharacterized. The transcript has 2 exons. The record is from RefSeq and is a predicted model, not a curated record. Lineage: Eukaryota; Metazoa; Arthropoda; Insecta; Hymenoptera; Formicidae.